AAUUUAGAUGCGAGGCGCAAGCUGCAGCAUCAACCAAUCUUGAUUCUUUGAAGAAAGACUUGAGUAAGAGCAUAAUCGGUAGGACCGAAAGAUGGUGAACUACGGUUGAGUAGGGUGAAGCCAGGGGAACUCUGGUGGAGGCUCGAAGCGUUUCUGACGUGCAAAUCGAUCGUCAAACUUGACUGUAGGGGCGAAAGACUAAUCGAACCAUCUAGUAGCUGGUUCCCUCUGAAAUUUCUCUCAGGAUAGCAGGAACAGAUAUAGCAGUUUUAUCAGGUAAAGCUAAUGAUUAGUGGAAUCGGGGGUCUUCGAUCCUUGACCAAUUCUCAAACUUUAAAUUGGUAAGAACCAGUAGUUGUCUUAAUUGAACUAUUGGGUAGAAUGCAUUGUUCUUAGUGGGCCAUUUUUGGUAAGCAGAACUGGCGAUGAGGGAU
RNAcentral lists this ribosomal RNA (434 nucleotides) under uncultured eukaryote. RNAcentral's name for it is "eukaryotic LSU rRNA". It matches the Rfam family "Eukaryotic large subunit ribosomal RNA", at positions 727 to 1164 of the family's 3401-position model. The record is from RNAcentral.